RNAcentral lists this ribosomal RNA (380 nucleotides) under uncultured eukaryote. RNAcentral describes it as "partial 18S ribosomal RNA". It matches the Rfam family "Eukaryotic small subunit ribosomal RNA", at positions 592 to 976 of the family's 1831-position model. The record is from RNAcentral.
CAAUAGCGUAUAUUAAAGUUGUUGCAGUUAAAAAGCUCGUAGUUGGAUUUGUGGCGUACGGUGUGUUCCGGGCACUUGUUGUCUGAGUAACCUGCUGUUGCCAUCCUUGGGUGGAACCUGUGUGGCAUUAGAUUGUCGUGCAGGGGAUGCCCAUCAUUUACUGUGAAAAAAUUAGAGUGUUCAAAGCAGGCUUAUGCCGUUGAAUAUAUUAGCAUGGAAUAAUGAGAUAGGACUUUUUUGCUAUUUUGUUGGUUUGCGCAAAGAGGUAAUGAUUAAUAGGGACAGUUGGGGGUGUUCGUAUUCCAUUGUCAGAGGUGAAAUUCUUGGAUUUUUGGAAGACGAACUACUGCGAAAGCAUUUACCAAGGAUGUUUUCAUUAA